CUUUUUUGCAGUUCCUGAAAAUUUUACAAUUGUUGCCCAGGCAAAGUUUCCGGUUUGUAUGGAGGAGUUCUUUAAUCUUUUCAUCUCUGACCAAGCUUAUAAUUUUGUGGAGUGCUUCCAUAAAAAUUGUGGCGAUAAAGACUUUCAAUGCUCUUCUUGGCGUCGACAUGAACAAUUUGGAUACAUUCGUGAUUUGUCAUUUUUACAUCCGGUCAAGAUAUAUAUUGG
This is a long non-coding RNA of Dendrobium catenatum, 228 nucleotides long. RefSeq lists it as uncharacterized. NCBI's taxonomy places the organism in Eukaryota, Viridiplantae, Streptophyta, Magnoliopsida, Asparagales, Orchidaceae. The transcript is spliced from 3 exons. The record is from RefSeq and is a predicted model, not a curated record.